This 1792-nucleotide long non-coding RNA is filed under the name Capra hircus (goat). Its description in RNAcentral is "lncRNA (ENSCHIG00010023546.1)". Lineage: Eukaryota; Metazoa; Chordata; Mammalia; Artiodactyla; Bovidae. The record is from RNAcentral.
UAACUUUUGAUUAAUCAAGGGAGCAGGAAGCUGGGUGCAGGAGGAAUCCUAGUUAGUGUCUUUUCUCACGUUCAUGUCCAGGUUAUGAAGUCUUACAAGGGCAAAAUCCUUUCAACAAUCAUAUGUAAUGAAGAAUAACGUUUAUAUGUGUAAAAUAGACAUUUGCGUUCAAUUUCAAAUACCUGUAAGAAUUACACUAUCUUGCAGUUUACAGUUAACUAUUGUUACCUCUUUGAUGGAGAAUAUGGUACAAGAUAUUAUAGGUAUUAGAGAUUUUAUCCUUUUCAGCCUUUCCCCUGAUUUACAUUCGGGCCUUGUCAUCCAAACAUAAUACACAUACAAACUCACCUUGGCUUUGAAAUUAAGUGCUUUUUGCAUGCUGUUACCCUUUAGUGACUAGCUAACUUGGCAUUUAUUUUUUAUAGAGUUGUUUGUUUCAAGCCAAAGUUUACUUCCUAAGAAUGUUGACCAGCCACUUUUCCUUCUUUCGCUGUUUUAUGAUUAACAUCAGAUUUCUGCUUGAGCACAGUGCUGAAGAAAUAGUCUGGUUUACAGGACUUCAAAGGCCAUCAGGGCAACAAACACCAGAGGCGUACUUUAUAUUUGGUGAGACACAUUUGGAACUCCGUCCCUCCCUCGACUCCUAUCUCAACAAGACCGAAACUUUGGCUCAUGGGUCACUAACUGAGGAAGUCAAUGUCCUGGGCAGCCACUGAGAAGCAGAUGCCUUGCUCUGGGAGAUUCAAGUCUAAGAGGGGACAUGCUCCUACUGCCAGACAGUGCCAAUGAGAGUUUCUAGCUCAUCUGUUGCUUCUGGAGUUUUCCUCUGAAUUAGCCAGCAAUUUUCAACGAUGAAAAUUAUGGUGACGAUAUUCCCAGCCCAAAAUUGGGACCUGUGCUGUCAUGAAGUUUUGUCCUACUCCUCACUGGAAAAAACAGUCUAAGAUACAGUCUGGAUCUCAGAGUAUUAGCAUUUCUGUGAUAUUUUUAUAGUUUAAGGAACCAACGUGUGAAACACUUAAAACCGGAUUGUUCCAGGAAAUGCAUGUGCCUUGUAUAAAAAGUGUAACAGAUGUUAACAGCAGAGUUGAGAAUAGUACAUAACGCCCACUAAAGCAUGAGUUCCCUUUCAUUGAAGCCUCAUGUCAUCUUUCCUCAUCUUUCCUACCUGCUUUAAGAAAAGCUUUGUGGCUGGUUGUGGAUCAAGCAGAUCAGCUCAGAGAGUGAACUUAGGCUAGUCACUUACCUACCCAGCCCCUCAUCUCUCCAUACCCCAUGCGCGAUUCUCCAUUUUAUACAACGGGACUGACUGACUUCCCUUGCUUCAAAGGGAUGCUAUGAGCCUGAAUGAGGCUGUGUGUCCCUAAUGCCUUGAACCUAAGUUGUAGACUAACCGGCCUCAAACAAAAGCAGUAGUGUGCCUCUAGGCAAGGUACAGGGGCGGUGAAAACCUCAUUCAUGCCAAACUGAAAUCCUUUUAGCUUUGUCUCUGAAGUACAAAUGAGUUAUUUAUUAGUAAGAACACUUUUGCAAAAGGGUAAAUUUUAACCAGCCCCAAUGUAGGGUGGCUUUAGAGGGGAAGGAAGAGUGACAAUAAUUCCCAAGUCUACUCUAGUGAAAGUUUUUUUUUUAAUUUUUAAAAAUAAUUUUAUUUAUUUUUGGCUGUGCUGGGUCUUCACUGCUGCACAGGUUUUUCUCUGGUUACGGUCCUCGGGCUUCUUGUGGUGGCUUCUCUCGUUGAUCUAUGCCAAAGCCUUUGACUGUGUGGAUCACAGUAAACUGGAAAAUUCUG